AUACAUACAUGCACAUACAUCAUCUAGUAUAUAUACAUACUGUAUAUAUAUGUGUAUAUAUAUAUGUGUGUGUGUAUAUAU
Molecule: non-coding RNA, 81 nt
Organism: Podarcis lilfordi (Lilford's wall lizard)
Lineage: Eukaryota; Metazoa; Chordata; Lepidosauria; Squamata; Lacertidae
Source: the annotation of a GenBank genome assembly